CACGGCGCCAUGGACACGCCUUUUAACGAAAACUCAAGAUCUUCACAAUUUAACAUUGCACAGGCCUUUAGAUUAGACUGACCACAAAAAAUACACUGAUGUCAUAAAAUUUCUAGGAGUAGUUCGUCGCAGUGUAAAAUAUGUCACUUCCUGUUGCCAAUAGGUGGCGCUAUGACUAUAACUGAAUAUGGGCAUGUAGAUCUGUUCAGGGCAGAAGUCUUAUCUAACAUGUGAAGUUUGGGGCAGAUUGGACGUUGUAUGUCUGAGUUACAGAAACUUCCUUUUUCAUGGCGAAACAUCGAAAUUUGUCAGGCCGCCAUGGACACGCCCUUUAACGAAACCUCAAGAUCUUCGCAAUUUAACAUCGCAAAGGCCUUUAGAUUACACUGACCAAGUUUGGUGUUGAUCUGAAUAAAUCUCUAGGAGGAGUUCGUUAAAGUACAACCCCUGAAAAUGGCAAAAACGACACAAAUUUUGCAGAGAAAAUUCAAAAUAACUGACUUCCUGUUGGGAUUCGAAUUUCGAACCAAGAGACUUUUUUGUAGGUAUUGGUGUGUUACAUGUGUGUACCGAUUUUUGUACAUGUACGUGAAAUGUAGCUCGAGGCGCACUCCGUUGAAAAUGUAUAGGUGGCGCUAUCGAGGCAUUUUGCCACACCCAAUGGAAUGUUGGCCUUCAGAUGUGUUCAGGCCAGGACUCUUAUCGAACAUGUGAAGUUUGGGCAAGAUCGGACAUUUUAUGCUUGAGUUACAAUAACUUUUAUUCCCAUGGCGAGACAUCGAACUUUGUGACGGCACCAUGGACACGCCCUUUAACGAAAACUCAAGAUCUUCACAAUUUAACAUCGCACAGGCCUUUAGAAUAGAGUGACUGAAAAAAAAAAAAUUAUGUCAUAAAAUUUCUCGGGGUACUUUGUUACAGUGUAAAAAUAUGUCACUUCCUGUUGCCAGUAG
Cyprinus carpio carpio is the source of this 953-nucleotide long non-coding RNA. Lineage: Eukaryota; Metazoa; Chordata; Actinopteri; Cypriniformes; Cyprinidae. The record is from Ensembl.